GUCUCCAUCGUCUAGUCCGGCCUAGGACACCGGGUUUUCAUCCCGACAACAGGAGUUCGAAUCUCCUUGGAGACGCCA
RNAcentral lists this transfer RNA (78 nucleotides) under bacterium. RNAcentral's name for it is "tRNA-Glu". It matches the Rfam family "tRNA". From Rfam's summary of the family: Transfer RNA (tRNA) molecules are approximately 80 nucleotides in length. Their secondary structure includes four short double-helical elements and three loops (D, anti-codon, and T loops). RNAcentral also lists the same sequence under 1 other name. The record is from RNAcentral.